Long non-coding RNA from Zea mays, 167 nucleotides. RefSeq lists it as uncharacterized. The transcript is spliced from 2 exons. NCBI's taxonomy places the organism in Eukaryota, Viridiplantae, Streptophyta, Magnoliopsida, Poales, Poaceae. The record is from RefSeq and is a predicted model, not a curated record.
CUGUACACUGAUCUAUAACAGGUGAUCGACUGACUCGAGAAUUUGCCGACGCUUGAAGAAGGACCUAAUGUGAGCUUUUACAUACUUGAUGAACAGCUUGAGCUCUUGAGCAAGGUGCUGAAUGCAGGGGAUGACAUGAUUGGUGUUGAGUGCUUAGAAGAAGAUUC